AUUAACGCUAGCGGCAGGCCUAAUACAUGCAAGUCGUACGGUAACAGGCGUAGCAAUACGUGCUGACGAGUGGCGCACGGGUGCGUAACACGUAUGUAAUCUGCCCACAACUGGGGGAUAGCCCGGAGAAAUCCGGAUUAAUACCCCAUAACCCAGCGAAGAGACAUCUCUUUACUGGUAAACCUCCGGGGGUUGUGGAUGAACAUGCGUCCGAUUAGCUAGUUGGCGGGGUAACGGCCCACCAAGGCUACGAUCGGUAGGGGUACUGAGAGGUUACACCCCCACACGGGUACUGAGACACGGACCCGACUCCUACGGGAGGCAGCAGUAAGGAAUAUUGGACAAUGGAGGCAACUCUGAUCCAGCCAUGCCGCGUGAAGGAUGAAGGCGCUAUGCGUUGUAAACUUCUUUUGAACGGGAAAAAACCCCCUUACGUGUAAGGGGUUGAUUGUACUGUUAGAAUAAGCAUCGGCUAACUCCGU
RNAcentral lists this ribosomal RNA (482 nucleotides) under uncultured bacterium. RNAcentral's name for it is "bacterial SSU rRNA". It matches the Rfam family "Bacterial small subunit ribosomal RNA", at positions 29 to 506 of the family's 1533-position model. The record is from RNAcentral.